GACGAACGCUGGCGGCGUGCCUAAUACAUGCAAGUUGAGCGAUGAAGCUUGGUGCUUGCCCCAAUUUGAAGAGCAGCGAACGGGUGAGUAACGCGUGGGGAAUCUGCCUUUGAGCGGGGGACAACAUUUGGAAACGAAUGCUAAUACCGCAUAACAACUUUAAACAUAAGUUUUAAGUUUGAAAGAUGCAAUUGCAUCACUCAAAGAUGAUCCCGCGUUGUAUUAGCUAGUUGGUGAGGUAAAGGCUCACCAAGGCGAUGAUACAUAGCCGACCUGAGAGGGUGGUCGGCCACAUUGGGACUGAGACACGGCCCAAACUCCUACGGGAGGCAGCAGUAGGGAAUCUUCGGCAAUGGACGAAAGUCUGACCGAGCAACGCCGCGGGAGUGAAGAAGGUUUUCGGAUCGGAAAACUCGGUUGGUAGAGAAGAACGUUGGUGAGAGUGGAAAGCUCAUCAAGUGACGGUAACUACCCAGAAAGGGACGGCUAACUACGUG
Molecule: ribosomal RNA, 497 nt
Filed under: uncultured bacterium
Lineage: Bacteria
Description: partial 16S ribosomal RNA
Rfam family: Bacterial small subunit ribosomal RNA
Source: RNAcentral